Molecule: ribosomal RNA, 538 nt
Filed under: Bifidobacterium bifidum
Lineage: Bacteria; Bacillati; Actinomycetota; Actinomycetes; Bifidobacteriales; Bifidobacteriaceae
Description: bacterial SSU rRNA
Rfam family: Bacterial small subunit ribosomal RNA
Source: RNAcentral
GUGGUAAUGCCGGAUGUUCCACAUGAUCGCAUGUGAUUGUGGGAAAGAUUUCAUCGGCGUGGGAUGGGGUCGCGUCCUAUCAGCUUGUUGGUGAGGUAACGGCUCACCAAGGCUUCGACGGGUAGCCGGCCUGAGAGGGCGACCGGCCACAUUGGGACUGAGAUACGGCCCAGACUCCUACGGGAGGCAGCAGUGGGGAAUAUUGCACAAUGGGCGCAAGCCUGAUGCAGCGACGCCGCGUGAGGGAUGGAGGCCUUCGGGUUGUAAACCUCUUUUGUUUGGGAGCAAGCCUUCGGGUGAGUGUACCUUUCGAAUAAGCGCCGGCUAACUACGUGCCAGCAGCCGCGGUAAUACGUAGGGCGCAAGCGUUAUCCGGAUUUAUUGGGCGUAAAGGGCUCGUAGGCGGCUCGUCGCGUCCGGUGUGAAAGUCCAUCGCUUAACGGUGGAUCUGCGCCGGGUACGGGCGGGCUGGAGUGCGGUAGGGGAGACUGGAAUUCCCGGUGUAACGGUGGAAUGUGUAGAUAUCGGGAAGAACACC